This 318-nucleotide long non-coding RNA is filed under the name Elaeis guineensis (African oil palm). RNAcentral describes it as "long non-coding RNA (EGUI_LNC000230)". The record is from RNAcentral. Lineage: Eukaryota; Viridiplantae; Streptophyta; Magnoliopsida; Arecales; Arecaceae.
GUUCGGCCAAAAUAGAAUUAAAUUAGAUUUGUAUUUUGAUACAAUUCAAAUAUAAAUUGAAUUUGGGUUAUGCUUGUCCUUGAUCUAACUCCAGACGCUUGUAGUCCUACCUGCAUUUUGCAAUUUACACGUUCAACUUUUUGAAUGUAGAUUAUGUUUAAAGUGUUCCAGCACAAGGAAGCAACAAGAUGCAUUGCAACACCCAUCGCAGAGUAGCACUCCUGUUGGCUGCUCAUUCAACUGAUGUCUGAACUACAGAAAAUAGCCUCCAAAUACCACCACAAAAUAAUUUGAACAGUCUCAGCUAAUCUCCUCGCC